AGUGAACGCUGGCGGUAGGCCUAACACAUGCAAGUCGAACGGCAGCACAGUAAGAGCUUGCUCUUACGGGUGGCGAGUGGCGGACGGGUGAGGAAUACAUCGGAAUCUACUUUUUCGUGGGGGAUAACGUAGGGAAACUUACGCUACUACCGCAUACGACCUACGGGUGAAAGCAGGGGAUCUUCGGACCUUGCGCGAUUGAAUGAGCCGAUGUCGGAUUAGCUAGUUGGCGGGGUAAAGGCCCACCAAGGCGACGCUCCGUAGCUGGUCUGAGAGGAUGAUCAGCCACACUGGAACUGAGACACGGUCCAGACUCCUACGGGAGGCAGCAGUGGGGAAUAUUGGACAAUGGGCGCAAGCCUGAUCCAGCAAUACCGCGUGGGUGAAGAAGGCCUUCGGGUUGUAAAGCCCUUUUGUUGGGAAAGAAAAGCAGCAGGUUAAUACCCCGCUGUUCUGACGGUACCCAAAGAAUAAGCACCGGCUAACUUCGUG
This 492-nucleotide ribosomal RNA is filed under the name uncultured bacterium. RNAcentral describes it as "partial 16S ribosomal RNA". It matches the Rfam family "Bacterial small subunit ribosomal RNA", at positions 29 to 507 of the family's 1533-position model. The record is from RNAcentral.